This is a long non-coding RNA of Spinacia oleracea (spinach), 927 nucleotides long. RefSeq lists it as uncharacterized. The transcript is spliced from 4 exons. The record is from RefSeq and is a predicted model, not a curated record. Lineage: Eukaryota; Viridiplantae; Streptophyta; Magnoliopsida; Caryophyllales; Amaranthaceae.
CCCAUACUCCCUUCCUCUCAUUCAACUUCACGUGAAAACUAAAACAAAGCAAAAACCUCCUUCUCUGUUCUUCCUCCUUCACGUUCGUUUGCUCCUCCUUGCGCAGCCACCACCUCACCACCGUCGGACGCCGCCUCCGUCGCUGCCGCCGCGGCCCAGCUGCGACCACCAAGCCAACCGCACCGCACCACCUGCACCUUCGCCGUGGCCCUGCCCAUUCGGCUUGCUCGUCCCUCCUUCCUCCUCCACGCAAGCACAGCAUUCUCUUGUUUCGGUUUGUUUGCGGCAGCCACCACCACCGCACGCACCACCAGGCCUGACAACCUCCGCAAGCCGCCGCCUUGCCGCCGCCGUGAUCUAUCCGCCGACCAACCCUUCCCUCUUCUCUUUUUGGCGGAGAAUUCUCUCUAGGCGACUUUUGAAAGUGUUAAAGUGGCCUAUCAGUUUGUUUACACAAGUCUCUAAGGAUCAAUAAGCAUUGUCCAUCUGCAGGUUUGAAGAUGUUGCAUCAUUGGGAUCGGGAAUAGAGAGCUUGUAUUUAGUUUUGAUUUGCUAAGUUGACUUGGGUUUGUUAAUUGGGACUUUAAACUUGUCGUACUAUUUAUAUUUCCUUAUUUUUUGUUGGAUGAUUUUUGGGACUAAACCUGUAAUCGAUUAUUUAUAAACCUACAGUUAGUUUUAUGUUUUCCGCUGCAAAAUUCUGAAUAAGCCGUUACGUUUUCACACGGGCGAUAAUGCCUUGAUAAUUCUCUACGUUUUAUAUUAAAAGAUUAUUUUAGAAAAGAGAGAAUUGUCGGGGUGUUACAAAGUGGUAUCAGAGCUAAGGUUUUACUUUAAUAAAUUUUUAGGCGCCUAACUAUCUAGUUAUUUAAAAUAAAUUUCUUAAAAAUCGAGAUUCUACGUAUUAUAGUGUUCAAAAAUUGGUAC